Long non-coding RNA from Lolium perenne, 674 nucleotides. RefSeq lists it as uncharacterized. The record is from RefSeq and is a predicted model, not a curated record. Lineage: Eukaryota; Viridiplantae; Streptophyta; Magnoliopsida; Poales; Poaceae.
GUUUGAUGUCGGUGAUGAGGCUAAAAAAUAACUAUUAUUUGUGACACACGCAUGUUUACCAGAGUGGGUACAAAUCACUACUUCUCUGGUGGGUGGUUUGAUCAAAUAGAGUUCUUUGCCUCCUCGGCCUAUUCAACGAUCGCCACCGGAUGAUGCCACAAAGCAGCACAGAGCGUAUUGGCGCAUGUUCUGUGCAAUGGAAAGGAUCUUGGAACAAAUGAAACAAACGUCUGGAUGAUCAAUGAAGAAGCAAUGUACAUGGGCUCAGAUACAUAUCAUCAUCUGAAGUGAUAUGUUAGGAUAUCAUAUGGGAAAAGUAUGGCUGCAGACAGUUGCAAAAUUGGUGAUGAUGGUGGAUAUAUUUGCUCCAAAUAUUUCCAGGAAAGUAAGGAAUUGAUUUUACCUUUUUCUCGUGCGGUUUCGUUCUUACUUUCCGCUUGGGGAACCCACAUAUGGAUUUCAACACAAUCGAUGUCGGAUUAAUGUUCAGUACGACUGAAGCCUGGAUUUUUCAUUGCCACUAUAGAUAGACCUGGAUAUGAUGGAAGGAUCAAAUUCACAGUUGAUGUCUUGUUGUUGGGUAUAUGUCAGUGUGUAUGUUGGUGCAACAGUGCAGUAAAUGUUUCCACUUCACUAGUGCUGUUAUGUUAUUACACAACUAGAAACUGUCCUUU